GUGUCAGCAGCCGCGGUAAUACGAGAGGCCCAAACGUUAUUCGGAAUUACUGGGCUUAAAGAGUUCGUAGGCGGUAUGGAAAGUAGGGUGUGAAAGCCCUCGGCUCAACCGAGGAAUUGCGCUCUAAACUGCCGUACUUGAGGAAGCUAGAGGUGAGCGGAACUGAUGGUGGAGCGGUGAAAUGCGUUGAUAUCAUCAGGAACACCGGAGGCGAAGGCGGCUCACUGGGGCUUUUCUGACGCUGAGGAACGAAAGCCAGGGUAGCGAACGGGAUUAGAAACCCGUGUAGUCC
This 292-nucleotide ribosomal RNA is filed under the name uncultured bacterium. RNAcentral's name for it is "partial 16S ribosomal RNA". It matches the Rfam family "Bacterial small subunit ribosomal RNA", at positions 505 to 796 of the family's 1533-position model. The record is from RNAcentral.